GGGGAUUUAGCUCAGUGGUAGAGCACUUGCCUAGCAAGCGCAAGUUCCUGGGUUCGGUCCCCAGCUCCA
This 69-nucleotide transfer RNA is filed under the name Rattus norvegicus (Norway rat). It matches the Rfam family "tRNA". Rfam says of the family: Transfer RNA (tRNA) molecules are approximately 80 nucleotides in length. Their secondary structure includes four short double-helical elements and three loops (D, anti-codon, and T loops). Further hydrogen bonds mediate the characteristic L-shaped molecular structure. tRNAs have two regions of fundamental functional importance: the anti-codon, which is responsible for specific mRNA codon recognition, and the 3' end, to which the tRNAs corresponding amino acid is attached (by aminoacyl-tRNA synthetases). tRNAs cope with the degeneracy of the genetic code in two manners: having more than one tRNA (with a specific anti-codon) for a particular amino acid; and 'wobble' base-pairing, i.e. permitting non-standard base-pairing at the 3rd anti-codon position. Lineage: Eukaryota; Metazoa; Chordata; Mammalia; Rodentia; Muridae. The record is from Rfam by way of RNAcentral.